GUGCCAGCCGCCGCGGUAAUACGUAGGGUGCAAGCGUUAAUCGGAAUUACUGGGCGUAAAGCGUGCGCAGGCGGUUUUGUAAGACAGUGGUGAAAUCCCCGGGCUCAACCUGGGAACUGCCAUUGUGACUGCAAGGCUAGAGUGCGGCAGAGGGGGAUGGAAUUCCGCGUGUAGCAGUGAAAUGCGUAGAUAUGCGGAGGACACCGAUGGCGAAGGCAAUCCCCUGGGCCUGCACUGACGCUCAUGCACGAAAGCGUGGGGAGCAAACAGGAUUAGA
This 277-nucleotide ribosomal RNA is filed under the name uncultured Burkholderiales bacterium. RNAcentral's name for it is "partial 16S ribosomal RNA". It matches the Rfam family "Bacterial small subunit ribosomal RNA", at positions 505 to 782 of the family's 1533-position model. The record is from RNAcentral. Lineage: Bacteria; Pseudomonadati; Pseudomonadota; Betaproteobacteria; Burkholderiales.